RNAcentral lists this ribosomal RNA (315 nucleotides) under uncultured soil bacterium. RNAcentral's name for it is "bacterial SSU rRNA". It matches the Rfam family "Bacterial small subunit ribosomal RNA", at positions 26 to 345 of the family's 1533-position model. The record is from RNAcentral.
AGGACGAACGCUGGCGGCGUGCUUAACACAUGCAAGUCGAGCGGUAAGGCCUUUCGGGGUACACGAGCGGCGAACGGGUGAGUAACACGUGGGUGAUCUGCCCUGCACUCUGGGAUAAGCCUGGGAAACUGGGUCUAAUACCGGAUAUGACCUGCUCUCGCAUGGGGGUGGGUGGAAAGAUUUAUCGGUGCAGGAUGGGCCCGCGGCCUAUCAGCUUGUUGGUGGGGUAAUGGCCUACCAAGGCGACGACGGGUAGCCGACCUGAGAGGGUGACCGGCCACACUGGAACUGAGACACGGUCCAGACUCCUACGGG